CAUCGGAAUCUACUCUGUCGUGGGGGGAGUAACGUAGGGAAACUUACGCUAAUACCGCAUACGACCUACGGGUGAAAGCAGGGGAUCUUCGGACCUUGCGCGAUUGAAUGAGCCGAUGUCGGAUUAGCUAGUUGGCGGGGUAAAGGCCCACCAAGGCGACGAUCCGUAGCUGGUCUGAGAGGAUGAUCAGCCACACUGGAACUGAGACACGGUCCAGACUCCUACGGGAGGCAGCAGCC
RNAcentral lists this ribosomal RNA (239 nucleotides) under uncultured Stenotrophomonas sp. Its description in RNAcentral is "partial 16S ribosomal RNA". It matches the Rfam family "Bacterial small subunit ribosomal RNA", at positions 116 to 355 of the family's 1533-position model. The record is from RNAcentral. Lineage: Bacteria; Pseudomonadati; Pseudomonadota; Gammaproteobacteria; Lysobacterales; Lysobacteraceae.